AGCCUGGUGGCUCAGUUGUUCAGAGCAUUGUCCCGUACACCCAAAAGGUUGUGGGUUCAAUUCCCAGUCAGGUCA
Myotis davidii is the source of this 75-nucleotide non-coding RNA. The record is from Rfam. NCBI's taxonomy places the organism in Eukaryota, Metazoa, Chordata, Mammalia, Chiroptera, Vespertilionidae.